RNAcentral lists this ribosomal RNA (367 nucleotides) under uncultured bacterium. Its description in RNAcentral is "bacterial SSU rRNA". It matches the Rfam family "Bacterial small subunit ribosomal RNA", at positions 71 to 422 of the family's 1533-position model. The record is from RNAcentral.
AAAGGGACUUCGGUCCUGAGUAAAGUGGCGCACGGGUGAGUAACACGUAGGUAACCUGCCUCUAGGAUUGGGAUAACCUGUCGAAAGACGAGCUAAUACCAAAUAAGACCACAAUUUCCUCGGAAGCAGCGGUCAAAGGUAGCCUCUACAUGUAAGCUAUCGCUUAGAGCUGGGCCUGCGUACCAUUAGCUAGUUGGUAGGGUAACGGCCUACCAAGGCUAAGAUGGUUAGCUGGUCUGAGAGGAUGAUCAGCCACACUGGAACUGAGACACGGUCCAGACUCCUACGGGAGGCAGCAGUGGGGAAUAUUGCGCAAUGGGCGAAAGCCUGACGCAGCAACGCCGCGUGAGUGAUGAAGGCCUUCGGG